Molecule: transfer RNA, 78 nt
Filed under: Lachnospiraceae bacterium
Lineage: Bacteria; Bacillati; Bacillota; Clostridia; Lachnospirales; Lachnospiraceae
Description: tRNA-Leu
Rfam family: tRNA
About the family: Transfer RNA (tRNA) molecules are approximately 80 nucleotides in length. Their secondary structure includes four short double-helical elements and three loops (D, anti-codon, and T loops). Further hydrogen bonds mediate the characteristic L-shaped molecular structure. tRNAs have two regions of fundamental functional importance: the anti-codon, which is responsible for specific mRNA codon recognition, and the 3' end, to which the tRNAs corresponding amino acid is attached (by aminoacyl-tRNA synthetases). tRNAs cope with the degeneracy of the genetic code in two manners: having more than one tRNA (with a specific anti-codon) for a particular amino acid; and 'wobble' base-pairing, i.e. permitting non-standard base-pairing at the 3rd anti-codon position.
Source: RNAcentral
GAGGAUAUAGCCCAAUAGGCAGGAGGCAACGAACUCAAAAUUCGUACAGUGUGAGUCCGAAUCUCACUAUCCUCACCA